CUCCCGUUGGCCAGGUUAGCCCGGAGCCAGGAAGCAGGUGAGUCCAGGAAAUGCUGGAGCAGAGCAGGACAAGGAGGGGGUGUGAGCUCAUGGCCUGGCCAGCCCCAGGGACCCCUCGUGGCUUCUGGUCAGUGCCCAGCUGGGCUCCUCGCAGGCCAGGUCAGGAAAGUGUGCCAGCAGCACAGGCACGUUCAUGGACAUGACUAAUGGCCCCACCUGUCCAGAAGCCAGAUGGCCCACCUUGCUGACUUUCUGAGAGGUCCUGGGUAUUGGGGUGAAGUCACCUGAUCCCAAACCCACCCUCCUGGGGAGGACUGCUAAGACCCAAGCCAGAAGAAGGUGGUCAGGACACCAGAUCUGCUCUGGGAAGUAGGGCUUACAGCUGUGGAGCAAGCCUGGCGGGGCCUGGCCUGGGGCUUUGGACUCCAGCCACACCCUGCACUUUGGCCUUAGUGGCCUGUCCCAAGCCAUCUUCCUCUGCUCCUGCCCCAGGCCUGUACCAGAAGCAGAUGCAAAGGGCAACUGCUUGGAGUGGCAAGAUCAUGUCCCUCCUUUGGCCUUCUGUGUGAACGGCCGGCUGGAGCUGCAGAAGACAGGCCUUGGAAUGGCCAGGCUGGGCCCAGAGGUCCCCAAGCCGCAGAGCUGUGAGGACCCUCGGAUCAUUCAGCCUAGCCCUCCCCUCCCACCCUGGCAUCACUCCUGGGGCUGCAGGAGGCAGAGGUGGGCCACAAUUAGGGCCUGGCUCCAGCCUGCCCCACCUGCUGCUCGGAGCCUGAUCUCAUCUCCAUGUUCCCCUGGACUUUUCCUGGCUCUGGCCACAACAUGGACAGCCUUGGAGCCAGCUCAGAGUGGGACCAUAUCUCACCCCCACGUGUGUUCUGGAGGACCUAGAGGGGAUCCCAGGCCCCUUCCCCAUUUGCCUGUCAGCACUGUCCCAGGUCACAAUCUAUGUGCAGCUGCAGGCUGGGGCCAGAGGUGACAUGGAUGGUAAGCUGCAUGUAUACCGAGGGCCACAGCACGGGGCCUGCCACUCAGUGUCUGUGCAGCAAAGGAAUGAACCAUGCGCCCUGCCUAGGACGGCUCAGGCAGGACUGUCACCUGUGCACUGAAAGCUGCAGUGGGGACAAGCAGCACUAGAGGAACUGAGGGGGCUCCUGCUCAGCCUGGGCUGGCAGCCAGGAAGCCUGGGCCCGUUGGGUACCAAUCUCCCACCCUGCCAGGGAGGAGGGAGGCAUUCGCUCUGGCCCCUGCUCACCUGCUCACCAACGCCCUUAGACCCUCACCAGAAACCUCUCCCCAUCUGGCCACCAGGGAGGCUCGCAGGUGCUAUCGGCUUCCUCAGGACAGCAGAGAGCAGCAGGCUGCCCUGUGAUGCACAGAUCUGUCCUGGGGCAGGGAAAGGUUCUCUCCUAUGCUCCAGGGAACUAAGCCUGGAGGGAAGCAAGCCAGAUGGGGAAGGCAGGUGUGGAGCCGGUCAGGUAGGCGAGGCGAGGCUGCAGGGGGAGUCCUGUAGGAAAGGUGAGGCUGCUGGAAGUAAUGGAGGCUGGCCCCAGGCAGGCAGUGAGCCAAAUGCCAGAAAUGGAAGUCGAGGGUACCAAGUGGCUCUGGUGCCCCAGCACAUGUGGCAGGGCUGAGGCUGUGCAUAGCUUCACCACCUGAAGUCUAGGUCCUGCCCAGAGGCUCCUGCUCCCCAGGUGAGCGGCCAGGACAAGGCCCAGAGAUGGCAGCAGGCAGCCGAUGCCUGGAGGGUGAGCUUCCUGCGAAUUCAAGUGUGGCCAGGUCGGGGGAGCCUGGGGUAGGAUGCGGGGGCCCAUAGGGACAUCGCCCCUGGUCUGAGCUCUGACACGUCACUCUGCCUGGACAACUGCCAGCAGCACCAGCAGCACCCCAAGCUGGACCUGAAGCCUGGCUCUGGGGGACCCUGUGCCACCUCCAGGACAGGUGAGAGGCUGCCUUGCUUCACAGUCCUGCCUUGAGCUUAGAGCCAACAUGUGUGCGCGUGCUUUGGCUGAAACAAGGUCUCCAGAGGCUGGCCUGUCACCCCUGCUGCAUACCCCAGGGAGCAAGGGCAAGGCCACUUGGGCCUCUUGGGGUGGAAAAACAGAGCUUCCUGCCCUCAGAGGUCACUGGGAUGGCCCUGACAUUCCCAGGGCCCAGCAGUCAAGCACACAGGUCCCUAGUAACAAACACACACACACACACACACACACACACACACCACACACGCACGGCCUACUUGUACUUGGGCAUCUACAGACACAAACACUUGACCUCACAUAUCUGGACCUUGACCCACACGCAAAUUUCUAUUCAAACAGGUGGGUACCCACCCUCAGAAAUGCCCGUGUGUUUGAAGCACACCCACACGCUGUGUGAAACACAGAGUCCUAAGCUUAUCCGUACACAGCUGGUACCAACGCGCACGCACAGGCAAGUUUCCAGCUGGAGCCUCCAAACCCCCCCUCAGCCUGCCUGGCCUGACCCGGCCUCCUGCCUUCCCCCAAGCACGCGGGGUGGCUGGCCCUGUGUGAGAUGGCCCAACAGCUGGCACCAGCUUCCCGGCAUCUCUUCCAGGAAUGGGUGUGGCCACUUGUGGCACAUGAGGAGCGGGACAGCAGAACAACAGGACGGCCCUCCCCUCCCAACCACCUAUCAGAUGAGGCCAGCAAUUCCACCUUCGGAGGGUCAGGGGCUGAUGUUCGUCAACAUAAAACAACAGCUCUGCUUAAGGAACUCAGAAGACAGCAUCUUCUGAGCCAGACACGAGUGACCACGGCCCUGGAAGAUGGGCUCAAGUCCCCUGACAGAAUGGUGCCCUAUGGAAGAGGCUACAUGAGCUUUCCUAGCCACAGAACAAAGAAGGCCAUAAACCAGCAUGUUCACCAAGUAAUACUGGCGAGGGCAUCAGACAGGGGGCACAGCAAAGCAGGGACCUCCGGGGCUUCAGAGGCUGCCCCCUCGUUUUCUUGGCUUCGGGUUGGUGGGGGCUCUAGGUCCUAGAAUCUUACUAAGUGUCACAGGAUGACAGGUCAGAUACAGAGAUGGGGAGUAAAAUGGCCACCAAGGGACUAAGGGAUCCCAAGGUCACUUGGGCUCUUGACCUGCAAGGCUCCAUCUUUCUGCCAUCACCGUGUCUAUCAGCUGGCCCAUGGGGUCUUGAGCUUCUUCAGAGAACAUGGGCCCCACAAGUCACUUACCAAACGUGGAGAGAAGAUUCUUGGACCAACUCCAUCCCAAUGUGGGAACCCAAGGCCCAGAGAGAGGAAGUUACUUGACUAAGAGCUUAGAGCCAAGUGGCCCUGGGACAGAGCCAGCUCAGAACCCGGUUCUCCUGAUCCGGGUCAUUGGAAAGAGUCAGCUGGGUGACAGCUGGGAUCACAAUGAGGCCCAGGCAGAGGCUCUCGGGGCCACUCGAGCCCACCCAGGGAAGCCCACCAGAGGCCUUGGCCCACACCUGGUGGCUGCUGCUCCCAGGCUCCUCUCAGUCGGACCAGGAGAGCCACCAGGGCCCCUCCAGUCACACUCUGGGGGGAAAGGUGCCCGGUGGGGGGGCUCUCCAAACCCUCCCACAUGGUGGGGAGCUCUGGGGAGAGACCAGAGCCUGAGAGAGCAAGGGGACCAGUCACUGACACAGGACACACAGGACCCCUCCCGGCCCCAUCGGUAGCCUGGGGUAUCCACCGGGCGAGGAGAGCGGAGAGGCCCCUCCUGGGCCACCCAUCCCCUCAUCAGCCCCACGGUGGGGGGCACCUGGCAUGUAAGGCCCUGCACCCCUCCGCCUCUUCCUGCGGCCCCCUGCCCCCCUCAUCAGCUCCCCUCCUGCCUCCUCUGUCCCCUCGCCAGCAGUGGGUAGUGCCACCAUGCCCUGAUUCCCCUUGCCACACCCAGACCCUGCCAAGGCCCAGUCACAGAACCCAGCUCUUGCUCCAGUUCUGGAGCCGAUGACUCAACUGGGCCCUUCUCAGGAAAGGACCCUGGUCCUAGAGUCAGCAGGGACUGCAUGAAGGAGGUGCCUGGCCCCGAGCUUCAGAUGGACAGAGAGGAGGCACAUCACCCAGAGCCAGCAGGACCCCUCAGGAGGGAAAGGACAUCACGCGGGAGUGAGGGAAACGGAGCUUUGACGCAGCGACUGGGAGCCCUGCUGGGGGCCGAGGCUGGAGCUGGGGCUGCUCUUGCAGGCAGGGCGGGGGCCAGGUGCCUUUUGGGGCACUUAGGUUUUGAGGGCCGAGGGGUGCCCUGGCAGAGAUGGCCUGGGCAUUGGGAAGAAGGGAGCUCUGGAUCCACGCCGUGAGAAUCUGAACCGAGGCGCCAGCCACCCAUCCACCCACCCCAGGCAGGAGUGUGGGAGAGCAAGCUCUGCUGGGGCCUCAGAGAAAGGCCUGGAAUUGUGACAUGGAGGCCGAGGAGCAGAGGUUUGAGGGAGGCCUCCAGGGUGCCAGCGGCCUCUCCCUGGCUGGGAGGCUUCCAGCCAGUUACUUGACCUCUCUGAGCCUCUGGAACCUUCCAUCUCUGAAAAGGAAGAACCUUGCCCGCCAGGCCAAGGAGAGAUGUAUGUAAAAGAGACGGAGGGGUGAAACAGGGUUGCUAUAAAGUGUUUGGCUUGGGGACAGUUUCCCAACCUCCCUGACCUCCCAUUUCCUUACCUGCACAGUGGGAACAAGGAUCCCGAAUUUAGAGGGGUUGAAUUGAAACUUAGAGCAAGGGACGUGGCACCUGAUGUGAUGUAUGCCCAACGGGCAGCUUCUUCGGGUGCUGAGGGGCCUUUUGCCAACUGUGGUACCUUCUCUCAGCUCCCGUGGCCCCCAGGCUGCCUCUGUCCACUGCACUGCAGACUCAAGGACAGGACCGCCUGGCUGGGGUCCUCAGCCCGAAGCUUGGCACUCACUCAUUCACUGAAGAGCUACCUACUGUGGGCCAGGCCCUGUUCCAGCUGCCAGGUGCUAGGCACCGGACCGUGAGCAAGGUGGCCAGCUGCCUGCCUCAGAAGAGCUGGAGGGGAUGGAGAGAGAUGGCCAAGAAACAGCUGAGGAAAACCUGAGAUUCAAGAUACAAACUAAAGUCGGAGAGAAAAUAUGAGGGAAAAGCCCAGCGCAGAGAGGCUUAGAGGGCGGGAUUGUAACUUGGGUAAUCAAGGAAGGCUUCCCUGAGGAGGUGAUGUUUUUGCUGGGACCAUAAGAAAUCCAAGAAGCAGUCAUGAAAGCACCAGGGCAAAGGGCAUUCCAGGUGGACAGAAGAAGGAGGAGAGCCAGGUGGGCAUGAGUGGGGCAUGUCUGCG
This 5275-nucleotide long non-coding RNA is filed under the name Marmota monax (woodchuck). Lineage: Eukaryota; Metazoa; Chordata; Mammalia; Rodentia; Sciuridae. The record is from RNAcentral.